RNAcentral lists this long non-coding RNA (289 nucleotides) under Vulpes vulpes (red fox). RNAcentral's name for it is "lncRNA (ENSVVUG00000026572.1)". The record is from RNAcentral. Lineage: Eukaryota; Metazoa; Chordata; Mammalia; Carnivora; Canidae.
AUACAACAUCCAUCAUCCAUGAUAUCUCUUAUAAGUCCAGGGAGCUGCUAGGCAGUGAGCAACCUAGCCUGAGAUCCCAAUAAGAGACUGGGGAAUUGAAUACAGCAUCCAGCAAGACAUGGUGGUGAUCCCUGGCUCUAAGUCUUCAUGAUUAAGUGACUCUUUUGCACAACACAAAGGCCUUGCCCUACACAUCUGGGAGCCAACAUCUAUCAGCAGGCAUUCUUGCUCACCACCUAGAAGCAGAGUCAGACCUGGAAGCAGCCUAUUUCAGACCAGUAGCCCGGAC